UGAGGGAUAUUGGUCAAUGGGGAAACCCUGAACCAGCGACGCCGCGUGGGUGAAGAAGGCCUUCGGGUCGUAAAGCCCUUUUCCCGCUGACGAGGAAGGACGGUAGGCGGGGAUGAAGUCUCGGCUAACUACGUGCCAGCAGCCGCGGUAAGACAGAGGUGCCGAGCGUUAGGCGGAAUCACUGGGCUUAAAGCGUGUGUAGGCGGAUGCCUAAGUACCUUGUGAAAUCCCACGGCUUAAUCGUGGAAC
This 249-nucleotide ribosomal RNA is filed under the name uncultured organism. RNAcentral describes it as "partial 16S ribosomal RNA". It matches the Rfam family "Bacterial small subunit ribosomal RNA", at positions 355 to 621 of the family's 1533-position model. The record is from RNAcentral.